Molecule: ribosomal RNA, 448 nt
Filed under: uncultured bacterium
Lineage: Bacteria
Description: bacterial SSU rRNA
Rfam family: Bacterial small subunit ribosomal RNA
Source: RNAcentral
CCCCAGACUCCUACGGGAGGCAGCAGUGGGGAAUAUUGCACAAUGGGGGAAACCCUGAUGCAGCGACGCCGCGUGAGUGAAGAAGUAUUUCGGUAUGUAAAGCUCUAUCAGCAGGGAAGAAAAUGACGGUACCUGAUUAAGAAGCCCCGGCUAACUACGUGCCAGCAGCCGCGGUAAUACGUAGGGGGCGAGCGUUAUCCGGAAUUACUGGGUGUAAAGGGAGCGUAGACGGCGAGGUAAGCCUGAAGUGGAAGCCCGCGGCCCAACCGCGGAACUGCUUUGGGAACUGUUUUGCUGGAGUAUGGGAGGGGUAAGCGGAAUUCCUGGUGUAGCGGUGAAAUGCGUAGAUAUCAGGAGGAACACCGGUGGCGAAGGCGGCUUACUGGACCAUAACUGACGUUGAGGCUCGAAAGCGUGGGGAGCAAACAGGAUUAGAUACCCCUGUAAC